RNA transcript from Sapajus apella (tufted capuchin), 1334 nucleotides. It is a transcript of the gene named actin, cytoplasmic 2-like, with no coding region annotated. Lineage: Eukaryota; Metazoa; Chordata; Mammalia; Primates; Cebidae. The transcript has a single exon. The record is from RefSeq and is a predicted model, not a curated record.
AUGUGCAAGGCCGGCUUCAGGGUGGUCUUCCCCUCCACCGUGGGGCGCCGCAGGCACCAAGGUGUGAUGGUGGGCAUGAGUCAAAAGGACUCCUAUGUGGGUGACAAGGCCUAGAUAGGCAUCCUGACCCUGAAGUACCCUAUCCAGCACGGCAUUGUCACCAACUGGGACAACAUGGAGAAGAUCUGGCACCACACCUACAACAAGCUUCGUGUGGCUCCUGAGGAGCACCCAGUGCUGCUGACUGAGGGCCCCCUGAACUCCAUGAGAAGAUGACCCAGAUCAUGUUUGAGACCUUUAACACCCCAGCCAUGUACGUGGCCAUCCAGGCUGUGCUGCCCCUGUACACCUCUGGCUGUACCACUGGCAUCAUGAUGGACUCCGGUGAUGGGGUCACCCACACUGUGCCCAUCUACGAGGGCUAUGCCCUCUCUCACACCAUCCUGCAUCUGGACCUGGCUGGCUGGGACCUGACUAGACUACUUAUGAAGAUCCUCACUGAGCGUCACCACCACUACCGAAUGGGAAAUCAUGCAUGACAUCAAGGAGAAGCUGUGCUAUGUCACCCUGGACUUCGAGCAGGAGAUGGUGAUGGCGGCCUCCAGCUCCUCCCUGGAGAAGAGCUAGGAGCUGCCCGAUGGCCAGGUCAUCGCCACUGGCAACGAACAGUUCCGCUGCCCCAGGCGCCCUUCCAGCCUUCCUUCCUGGGAGUGAAAUCCUGUGGCAUCCAGGAAACUACCUUCAACUCCAUCAUGAAGUGUGAUGUGGACAUCUACAAAGAUCUGUACGCCAACACAGUGCUCUCUGGCAGCACCAUCAUGUACCCUGGCAUCGCCGACAGGAUGUAGAAGGAGACUCCCGCCCUGGCACCCAGCACAAUGAAGAUCAAGAUCAUUGCUUCUCCUGAGAGCAAGUACUCUGUGCGGAUUGGCGGCUUCUCCAGCAGACGUGUAUCAGCAAGCGGGAGUACGAUGAGUCCGGCCCCUCUAUCAUCCACCGCAAAUGCUUCUAGGCAGACUGUGAUUUAGUUGCAUUAUACCCUUUCUUGACAAAACCUAACUUGUGCAGAAAACAAGAUGAGAUUGGCAUGGCUUUAUUUGUUUUGGUUUGGGGUUUUCUUGUUUGUUUGUUUUUUGGCUUGACUCAGGAUUUAAAAACUGAACGGUGAAGGUGAUAGCAGUCCCCCAAAGUUCUACAAUGUGGCUGAGGACUUUGAUUGUACAUUGUACUUUUUUUAAUAGUCAUUCCAAAUAUUGUGAAAUGCAUUGUUACAGGAAGUCCCUUGCCCUCCUAAAAUCCACCCACUUCUGUCUAAGGAGAACGGUCUAGUCUUC